UACGUAGGGUGCGAGCGUUAAUCGGAAUUACUGGGCGUAAAGCGUGCGCAGGCGGUUGUAUAAGACAGAUGUGAAAUCCCCGGGCUCAACCUGGGAACUGCAUUUGAGACUGUACGGCUAGAGUGUGGCAGAGGGGGGUAGAAUUCCACGUGUAGCAGUGAAAUGCGUAGAGAUGUGGAGGAAUACCGAUGGCGAAGGCAGCCCCCUGGGCCAAUACUGACGCUCAUGCACGAAAGCGUGGGGAGCAAACAGG
This 253-nucleotide ribosomal RNA is filed under the name uncultured bacterium. RNAcentral's name for it is "partial 16S ribosomal RNA". It matches the Rfam family "Bacterial small subunit ribosomal RNA", at positions 524 to 776 of the family's 1533-position model. The record is from RNAcentral.